GACGAACGCUGGCGGCGUGCCUAAUACAUGCAAGUCGAACGAGAGCGACCGGUGCUUGCACUGGUCAAUCUAGUGGCGAACGGGUGAGUAACACGUGGGUAACCUGCCCAUCAGAGGGGGAUAACAUCCGGAAACGGAUGCUAAAACCGCAUAGGUCUUCGAGCCGCAUGGCUUGAAGAGGAAAAGAGGCGCAAGCUUCUGCUGAUGGAUGGACCCGCGGUGCAUUAGCUAGUUGGCGAGGUAACGGCUCACCAAGGCCGUGAUGCAUAGCCGACCUGAGAGGGUGAUCGGCCACAUUGGGACUGAGACACGGCCCAAACUCCUACGGGAGGCAGCAGUAGGGAAUCUUCCGCAAUGGACGCAAGUCUGACGGAGCAACGCCGCGUGAGUGAAGAAGGUUUUCGGAUCGUAAAACUCUGUUGUUAGAGAAGAACAAGUGCUAGAGUAACUGUUAGCGCCUUGACGGUAUCUAACCAGAAAGCCACGGCUAACUACGUG
RNAcentral lists this ribosomal RNA (498 nucleotides) under uncultured bacterium. Its description in RNAcentral is "partial 16S ribosomal RNA". It matches the Rfam family "Bacterial small subunit ribosomal RNA", at positions 28 to 507 of the family's 1533-position model. The record is from RNAcentral.